RNAcentral lists this small nuclear RNA (59 nucleotides) under Labrus bergylta (ballan wrasse). The record is from RNAcentral. Lineage: Eukaryota; Metazoa; Chordata; Actinopteri; Labriformes; Labridae.
GACUCUGGUGGUGGCACUUCUGACUUUGUCAGUAACAGGGUUCAACUCCCUGCGGUGUC